Molecule: long non-coding RNA, 584 nt
Organism: Uranotaenia lowii
Lineage: Eukaryota; Metazoa; Arthropoda; Insecta; Diptera; Culicidae
Exons: 3
Source: RefSeq, a predicted model, not a curated record
UCCCAUUGCAGUGGCAAAUGGUAAUUCUCUGGAACUGAGGAGAAAAAAGUUGGUUUAGUUUCCAGUUAAAGUGAGAUUUAAAGGAAUGACUGGCGGAACGAGCAGAGAUGAAUCUAGUGCCAAGAAUUGUCAGGCUCGUUCCCAUCGAUCCCGACGACGGAAUGUUCUGUUCAGCCGGCUUAUUUUGAAGCUGUGUUGUCCGGUUCUUAAAACUGGGCCAUAGUGUUAAGUAAAUGCCCUGAACAACAGCCUUCCGGCAAAUUGGAUGCCGUCACGUCAAUUAAAUUUCCGGGACUCUGGCCGGGAUGAUCAGCGUUGGCAAAUGCCCCUACCUUGGACCGACCUCAAGACCUCGCUCUCCCGAUGGUAGCCGGAUAGGAAGGUGGAAUUGUAACCAAUCCCCGCACGGGCUGCUGCAGGACGGGAUGCACCGUUGAUGGGAACCGGCACUGUGGGAUGACAAAACUAAUUGUUUUAGUGGUGAUAUCAUGUUGAUAAUGUUCAUAUAUGAAUAAAAAAAUAAAUUAAAUUUGUUCAUUCUUUUUUCUUUGGAACCCAAUAAAUAACAUUGAUGCAAAUAGAAA